Molecule: long non-coding RNA, 904 nt
Organism: Thunnus maccoyii (southern bluefin tuna)
Lineage: Eukaryota; Metazoa; Chordata; Actinopteri; Scombriformes; Scombridae
Exons: 3
Source: RefSeq, a predicted model, not a curated record
CAUUAUGUCUGUACUGUUUCUGUUGUAUUAGCAGAGUUAAAUAGUACAAUAUUUCUGAAAUGUUCUAGAGUGGAAGUUUAAAGUAGCAUUAAAUGGAAAUUUACCACAAAAUUGUACUAAAAUACAGUACUUGAGUAAAUCUACUUCCACCACUGUCGUCCAUAGACACAUUUAACUUUAUGGUAUUUAAAUUUGUUUGAUUAUUAGACGCUGAACAAUACAAAAACUAUAAAAUCUACUUCAACUACAUCUACUACAUCUCUCGCUCUCUCUUCAUCAUCUUUUAUCUCCUCUACAAACAUUCAAAGCUUUUCCUUCUUGUACAUCUUCAUCUGAGAAACAGCCUCAGAAGAAGAAGAAGAUGAUGGAUUCAUACCUUCAGUUCAAAGGCUCAGGACCAUAAAGGCCUGUCAUUGAGAGGGAAGCAGCCAGAGGCGAAGCCGAGCAGGAGAUCCCAGUUAAACAGAUGUCAAACGUGGUCAUCCCUCUCAGCUUCAGGGCUCUGGUGCUGACCCUGACCUUUGACCUUUCUGCAUAAGAGAAGAAGCUCUAUCCACCUUAUUCCCAGCUUCAAGAUAUCUUGCAUGAAUUACAGUUCGUCUCUUGUCCGUCCUUUGUGUCUGUGACAGCAAACAGCAGACAAAAACACACAGGUGAGUCCCGGGCGUCAGGGACAAUGGAGGAAAUCUGACACCGGAGUGUCGUCAAAGCUCUGGGAAAGUCACACAUGGACUCUGGUGCACCAGAGUACCGAGGUUACAUGUGAUUGUGGGAUUGAUAAGUGAUCAAUAACAUCUCACAGCAUUCUGAGAGGAAUCAAACAGAAAUGAUUACUUCUAAGAUCAGCUGUGACGUUUAAAGGCCUGAUAUGUAACUUUUCUGCAUUAAACUGCCUAAAAAUGAC